GAAGUAAAAGUCGUAACAAGGUUUCCGUAGGUGAACCUGCGGAAGGAUCAUUAAAGAUGUUCAAAAGGAUGUGCUGGCUCUUGGGCAUGUGCACUCCUCACAAACACACACACACACACCUUGAACCUCGGACCGCUUGUCCUCCUUGACAGGAGGUGUGCGGUUCAACCUUUACAAAACCCAAUUUGAUACAAGCUCUGGAACGAGACGCAGAAAGUUGAAACAACCAUCAGCAACGGAUCUCUUGGCAUUCCAAUCGAUGAAGAACGUAGCGAAUUGCGAUAAGUAAUGUGAAUUGCAGAAUUCAGUGAAUCAUCGAAUCUUUGAACGCACCUUGCACCCUCUGGUAUUCCGGAGGGUAUGCCCGGUUGAGUGUCAUGAAUAUCUCAACUCCAAUGCUUUGUUAAGGUUCCUUGACCCUGCUCGGCCUAUCGAGACCAUGGCAGUUGUCUUUGGGAUUCAAGUGUUGGAGCUUGGUGUUGAGCUCUGUUGGCCUUGACGGUUGACUGGCUAGAAAUGCAUCAGUGAUGCGUGAUCCCUUGGGUCCAUCUCGGCGUGAUAAGUUGAUCGCUGCAAAGGACUUCCUCGGGGUGUGGCUCGCUCCUAACCGUCUUCGGACAGCCUCUGACGUUUACACCUCAACUCGGGUAGGACCACCCGCUGAACUUAAGCAUAUCAA
This 679-nucleotide ribosomal RNA is filed under the name uncultured Tulasnella. RNAcentral's name for it is "eukaryotic LSU rRNA". The stretch from base 225 to 378 matches the Rfam family "5.8S ribosomal RNA". The record is from RNAcentral. Lineage: Eukaryota; Fungi; Basidiomycota; Agaricomycetes; Cantharellales; Tulasnellaceae.